GACGAACGCUGGCGGCGUGCUUAACACAUGCAAGUCGAACGGAAAGGCCCUUCGGGGUACUCGAGUGGCGAACGGGUGAGUAACACGUGGGUGAUCUGCCCUGCACUUUGGGAUAAGCCUGGGAAACUGGGUCUAAUACCGAAUAGGACCACGCGCUUCAUGGUGUGUGGUGGAAAGCUUUUGCGGUGUGGGAUGGGCCCGCGGCCUAUCAGCUUGUUGGUGGGGUAAUGGCCUACCAAGGCGACGACGGGUAGCCGGCCUGAGAGGGUGACCGGCCACACUGGGACUGAAAUACGGCCCAGACUCCUACGGGAGGCAGCAGUGGGGAAUAUUGCACAAUGGGCGCAAGCCUGAUGCAGCGACGCCGCGUGAGGGAUGACGGCCUUCGGGUUGUAAACCUCUUUCAAUAGGGACGAAGCGCAAGUGACGGUACCUAUAGAAGAAGCACCGGCCAACUACGUG
This 462-nucleotide ribosomal RNA is filed under the name uncultured bacterium. RNAcentral describes it as "partial 16S ribosomal RNA". It matches the Rfam family "Bacterial small subunit ribosomal RNA", at positions 28 to 507 of the family's 1533-position model. The record is from RNAcentral.